Molecule: ribosomal RNA, 253 nt
Filed under: uncultured bacterium
Lineage: Bacteria
Description: partial 16S ribosomal RNA
Rfam family: Bacterial small subunit ribosomal RNA
Source: RNAcentral
GACGGAGGAUGCAAGCGUUAUCCGGAAUGAUUGGGCGUAAAGCGUCUGUAGGUGGUGAUGCAAGUCACUGGUGCAAAACUCUGGCUCAACCGGAGGAAAGCCAGUGAAACUGCAUGACUAGAGUGUGGGAGAGGUAGAAGGAAUUCCCUGAGUAGCGGUGAAAUGCGUAGAUACAGGGAAGAACACCGGAGGCGAAAGCGUUCUACUGGAACACAACUGACACUGAGAGACGAAAGCUAGGGGAGCGAAUGGG